AGCCAAAGAAUCAGAAACUCAUUUCAGUUUUUCCAUUUCGCUCUCUAGAAUAGAAGUUCCAUGCCCUAAACCAGUUUCUCUGACUUCUCUCUAGGUUUUCUGCAAAUUCCACCGAUUGAAUCCUAAUUUCUUGGUGUUUCUACGUUCCUGGAGUCUAGAGCUACAAAACCAUCCGAUUGGUUUUGCAUUUCGUUAGGUGUUGUUGAAGUUAUGUCCUGUGAGGACACUGUUAGGAAGUCUCCAUUUAGCUGUACUGUAGCGUGGUUCCAGAGGAGAAUGAGCCCACUUUGGAGGAUGUCCUGGAAGAUUCUGAAAACACAGAUGCUGCUACCUAGACCUUUAGGGAUUUUAUUUUGCUCUUCCUAUGUUCUGUAUUUUUGAAAUACUUAGAGUUCCUUCCAAGUUUUAAAUUUCCUCUUGUUUCUGGAUUACUGUAAUCACAACCUGAUUAACUUUCCUACUCUUAAACUGCUCUCUUUUAUUAUCUAUGUGGACAUCUUGAUUUUUAUA
Molecule: long non-coding RNA, 510 nt
Organism: Vigna radiata var. radiata (mung bean)
Lineage: Eukaryota; Viridiplantae; Streptophyta; Magnoliopsida; Fabales; Fabaceae
Exons: 3
Source: RefSeq, a predicted model, not a curated record